CUGCUGCCUUCCGUAGGAGUCUGGGCCGUAUCUCAGUCCCAAUGUGGCCGGCCAACCUCUCAGUCCGGCUACUGAUCGUCGCCUUGGUAGGCCGUUACCCUACCAACUAGCUAAUCAGACGCGAGGCCAUCUCUCAGCGAUAAAUCUUUGGUACAGAUACCAUGCGAUACCCGUACGUUAUGCGGUAUUAGCAGUCGUUUCCAACUGUUGUCCCCCACUGAAAGGCAGGUUCCUCACGCGUUACUCACCCGUCCG
Molecule: ribosomal RNA, 255 nt
Filed under: uncultured bacterium
Lineage: Bacteria
Description: partial 16S ribosomal RNA
Source: RNAcentral